CGCUGCGCAUCUGAAAAAAAUUUUGAAUUUUCAGCGGUAUGUGACAGAUCCUAACACAUGGCUCUCUGGAGGAAGCACAAACUUACUCUACGCCAAAGUAAAGAAUAUUAUAACAAUGUUAAAUCAAAAAUUAUAAUUAUGAUAGUAAACAAAUUAACAUACAAUAUCAAAUUCAAUUCUUUAUAUGUACAACUCUAAAAAGCUUAACCUUAUACAAAGGAAGCAUAUGAUUCUACUUCGCAUAAUUGAGCGAAUACAACUGACCUUUCCUUGCAACCGAUCUUUAAAAUUUGCUAAAAUGAAUCCAACCCUCUUGAUGUGCUAGCCCAGUUCGUUGCGUCGGAUGACAAUCUUCUCACUC
RNAcentral lists this long non-coding RNA (361 nucleotides) under Phoenix dactylifera (date palm). RNAcentral describes it as "long non-coding RNA (PDAC_LNC008086)". The record is from RNAcentral. Lineage: Eukaryota; Viridiplantae; Streptophyta; Magnoliopsida; Arecales; Arecaceae.